Molecule: ribosomal RNA, 468 nt
Filed under: uncultured bacterium
Lineage: Bacteria
Description: partial 16S ribosomal RNA
Rfam family: Bacterial small subunit ribosomal RNA
Source: RNAcentral
GACGAACGCUGGCGGCGUGCUUAACACAUGCAAGUCGAACGGAAAGGCCCUGCUUUUGUGGGGUGCUCGAGUGGCGAACGGGUGAGUAACACGUGAGUAACCUGCCCUUGACUUUGGGAUAACUUCAGGAAACUGGGGCUAAUACCGGAUAGGAGCUCCUGCUGCAUGGUGGGGGUUGGAAAGUUUCGGCGGUUGGGGAUGGACUCGCGGCUUAUCAGCUUGUUGGUGGGGUAGUGGCUUACCAAGGCUUUGACGGGUAGCCGGCCUGAGAGGGUGACCGGCCACAUUGGGACUGAGAUACGGCCCAGACUGCUACGGGAGGCAGCAGUGGGGAAUAUUGCACAAUGGGCGGAAGCCUGAUGCAGCAACGCCGGGUGCGGGAUGACGGCCUUCGGGUUGUAAAACGCUUUCGCCUGUGACGAAGCGUGAGUGACGGUAAUGGGUAAAGAAGCACCGGCUAACUACGUG